This 460-nucleotide ribosomal RNA is filed under the name uncultured bacterium. RNAcentral describes it as "partial 16S ribosomal RNA". It matches the Rfam family "Bacterial small subunit ribosomal RNA", at positions 338 to 795 of the family's 1533-position model. The record is from RNAcentral.
CCUACGGGUGGCAGCAGUGAGGAAUAUUGGUCAAUGGGCGGAAGCCUGAACCAGCCAAGUAGCGUGCGGGAUGAAGGCCCUACGGGUCGUAAACUGCUUUUGCACGGGGAUAACACCCUCCACGUGUGGAGGUCUGCAGGUAUCGUGCGAAUAAGGGUCGGCUAACUCCGUGCCAGCAGCCGCGGUAAUACGGAGGGGCCGAGCGUUAUCCGGAUUUAUUGGGAUUAAAGGGAGCGUAGGCGGGCGGACAAGUCAGCUGUAAAAUCGCGGGGCUCAACCCCGCCCUCGCAGAUGAUACUGGACGGCUUGAGAGCAGUAGAGGCAGGCGGAAUUCGUGGUGUAGCGGUGAAAUGCAUAGAGAUCACAAAGAACCCCGAUUGCGAAGGCAGCCUACCAAGGUACGUCUGACGCUGAGGCUCGAAGGUGCGGGUAUCAAACAGGAUUAGAUACCCCGGUAGUC